GACGAACGCUGGCGGCGCGCCUAACACAUGCAAGUCGAACGAGCGAGAGAGAGCUUGCUUUCUCGAGCGAGUGGCGAACGGGUGAGUAACGCGUGAGGAACCUGCCUCAAAGAGGGGGACAACAGUUGGAAACGACUGCUAAUACCGCAUAAGCCCACGGCUCGGCAUCGAGCAGAGGGAAAAGGAGCAAUCCGCUUUGAGAUGGCCUCGCGUCCGAUUAGCUAGUUGGUGAGGUAACGGCCCACCAAGGCAACGAUCGGUAGCCGGACUGAGAGGUUGAACGGCCACAUUGGGACUGAGACACGGCCCAGACUCCUACGGGAGGCAGCAGUGGGGAAUAUUGCACAAUGGGGGAAACCCUGAUGCAGCGACGCCGCGUGGAGGAAGAAGGUCUUCGGAUUGUAAACUCCUGUUGUUGGGGAAGAUAAUGACGGUACCCAACAAGGAAGUGACGGCUAACUACGUGCCAGCAGCCGCGGUAAAACGUAGGUCACAAGCGUUGUCCGGAAUUACUGGGUGUAAAGGGAGCGCAGGCGGGAAGACAAGUUGGAAGUGAAAUCUAUGGGCUCAACCCAUAAACUGCUUUCAAAACUGUUUUUCUUGAGUAGUGCAGAGGUAGGCGGAAUUCCCGGUGUAGCGGUGGAAUGCGUAGAUAUCGGGAGGAACACCAGUGGCGGAGGCGGCCUACUGGGCACCAACUGACGCUGAGGCUCGAAAGUGUGGGUAGCAAACAGGAUUAGAUACCCUGGUAGUCCACACCGUAAACGAUGAUUACUAGGUGUUGGAGGAUUGACCCCUUCAGUGCCGCAGUUAACACAAUAAGUAAUCCACCUGGGGAGUACGACCGCAAGGUUGAAACUCAAAGGAAUUGACGGGGGCCCGCACAAGCAGUGGAGUAUGUGGUUUAAUUCGACGCAACGCGAAGAACCUUACCAAGUCUUGACAUCCCUUGACAGGCAUAGAAAUAUGUUUUCUCUUCGGAGCAAGGAGACAGGUGGUGCAUGGUUGUCGUCAGCUCGUGUCGUGAGAUGUUGGGUUAAGUCCCGCAACGAGCGCAACCCUUAUGGUCAGUUACUACGCAAGAGGACUCUGGCCAGACUGCCGUUGACAAAACGGAGGAAGGUGGGGAUGACGUCAAAUCAUCAUGCCCUUUAUGACUUGGGCUACACACGUACUACAAUGGCGUUAAACAAAGAGAAGCAAGACCGCGAGGUGGAGCAAAACUCAGAAACAACGUCCCAGUUCGGACUGCAGGCUGCAACUCGCCUGCACGAAGUCGGAAUUGCUAGUAAUCGUGGAUCAGCAUGCCACGGUGAAUACGUUCCCGGGCCU
This 1332-nucleotide ribosomal RNA is filed under the name uncultured bacterium. RNAcentral's name for it is "bacterial SSU rRNA". It matches the Rfam family "Bacterial small subunit ribosomal RNA", at positions 28 to 1381 of the family's 1533-position model. The record is from RNAcentral.